CCAAGAUGGAAAUGUGAGAUUCGGUAAAACCAAGAGCAUCAAGUGCAAACACGCCGUAGCUUCAAGUUCUGGAGACUCUAGUCUUCUCCUGCUGUCCCGGGAUGGCUCUGUCUUCGGUGUGGAACUCAGUGAAUCCGCCGAUCCAAGGUGAAGUCUUCGUCGUCGCAUAGUCAUUGCCAGGAGCGUGUCUAGCUUUUUGGGGACUCUAUGCAAAAUGUCCUGGCCAGGGCUGGACUGGGACCAAAACAUGGCCAUGGUAUUUUUGGCCAUGGCGGUCCAUCAUGAUUAUUAUCAGUAUUAUUAUUACCAAGUCUACUCAUAGCAUUAUUUGAAAACAAAGGCUAAAAAGGAAACACACACACACACAUUAUUUUUUGGGAUUUGUUGGUUUGUGAGAAAACGACCAGGUCAGAGCAGCUUGUGUUGCUUGCGUCUCAAAGCUGAUUCGAAAAAUGAAUCAGCUAUGAGACGUGCUAACCUAGGCGGAGUUUGCAGGGGCAGGGAGAGCACCCCAUGGUGGCUGAAACAGGUAUUUGCAUAAAAAUAAAAAAACAGAACAUUGUGAAAGCAUAAGCAGGACACAAAAAACGAAAAUGACUGCUGCAUCAGUCUAAACAUCUUUCCGUGCAAAGCUGCAAUAAAGAUUGCCUAAAUGGUAUUGGGUAUUUGGGUGGCAACUGAUUGUUCACUUUUACAUUAUAGUUUAGUCAAGACUGCCGUGCCGUGAUUGGCUUUACAUUUUUCAAAUUGUUAAAUUGUUAAAAAUGUAAUUUAAAAUCUGCUGUAAAAAUAAACAUACGUUUAUU
This is a long non-coding RNA of Gadus morhua (Atlantic cod), 806 nucleotides long. RefSeq lists it as uncharacterized. The record is from RefSeq and is a predicted model, not a curated record. The transcript is spliced from 2 exons. NCBI's taxonomy places the organism in Eukaryota, Metazoa, Chordata, Actinopteri, Gadiformes, Gadidae.